AUUGAACGCUGGCGGCAGGCCUAACACAUGCAAGUCGAACGGUAACAGGAUGUGCUUGCACAUCGCUGACGAGUGGCGGACGGGUGAGUAAUGCUUGGGAACUUGCCUUUGCGAGGGGGAUAACAGUUGGAAACGACUGCUAAUACCGCAUAAUGUCUUCGGACCAAACGGGGCUUAGGCUCCGGCGCAAAGAGAGGCCCAAGUGAGAUUAGCUAGUUGGUAAGGUAACAGCUUACCAAGGCGACGAUCUCUAGCUGUUCUGAGAGGAAGAUCAGCCACACUGGGACUGAGACACGGCCCAGACUCCUACGGGAGGCAGCAGUGGGGAAUAUUGCACAAUGGGGGAAACCCUGAUGCAGCCAUGCCGCGUGUGUGAAGAAGGCCUUCGGGUUGUAAAGCACUUUCAGUUGUGAGGAAAAGUUAGUAGUUAAUACCUGCUAGCCGUGACGUUAACAACAGAAGAAGCACCGGCUAACUCCGUGCCAGCCGCCGCCGAAUAAAC
RNAcentral lists this ribosomal RNA (502 nucleotides) under uncultured bacterium. RNAcentral's name for it is "bacterial SSU rRNA". It matches the Rfam family "Bacterial small subunit ribosomal RNA", at positions 30 to 526 of the family's 1533-position model. The record is from RNAcentral.